GGGCAAGUGGCCUUGGUCCCUCCGGGGAUGCAGGCUGCAGAGGCAAGUAAAAGCAACAGGGCAAAUGGAAGUGACAUUUGGUGUUCUGACUGGAACAGGGAUUUGUCUGGCAAUGAGAUCGUGUCCAUUGAGGAACGUGCUUUUGAGCCACUGCCUUUCCUGAAGCUUCUGUGAGUGAUAAAGUUUCCUCCUGGGGUUUUUAGUGAAGUCUUUGCAUUGGGCACCCUUCCUGUGUCGGAAAAUGCUCCUGUUCUUUUCCCAGCAGUCCCUAAAUCUGCCCUGCUCAGGGCCCAGCUGAGCUGCAGAGGUCAGUGCCGAUGGCUGGAGGGCCACGCCGGGGGCACAGACCCCAGCAGGGUCGUCCACACGCAGCCAUCAGAGCAGCCAGUUCUUGCAGGCUCGGCUGCAUGCUGGCACAGAAAUAGAGUCAGCCCUUGGGCCCUUCCCUUCCCCUCCUGGGCAGGCUACAAACACUGAGAAAGCAGCAGCCUCCCCCCUCUUCCACCUUGCAUUUGCACCUUUCCUGCCAAGGGAUCCCGCUUCAGCCCCUCUUCCUGUGGGACAGGCCCGAUUCCGUUGUGUGACCUCCUCUUUCCCCAGAAACCUCUCCGGGAAUGGCCUCACGCAGAUCCGCAGCGGCACUUUCCAGGCCUGGCACGGGAUGCAGUUUCUCCAGGAGCUCAUCCUCAGCCAUAACCCGCUGGCUGUCAUUGCUGACGCUGCGUUCUUCAAGCUGCCCGCAGUGAGCUCUCUGUAAGUAUGGGCUCCUUUGGAGCAGACCAACAGAGAGCUGUGU
RNAcentral lists this long non-coding RNA (796 nucleotides) under Corvus moneduloides (New Caledonian crow). RNAcentral describes it as "lncRNA (ENSCMUG00000018724.1)". The record is from RNAcentral. Lineage: Eukaryota; Metazoa; Chordata; Aves; Passeriformes; Corvidae.